This 87-nucleotide unclassified non-coding RNA is filed under the name Pseudomonas orientalis. Lineage: Bacteria; Pseudomonadati; Pseudomonadota; Gammaproteobacteria; Pseudomonadales; Pseudomonadaceae. The record is from RNAcentral.
GUGGGAGGGGGCUUGCCCCCGAUAGCGGUGGGUCAGCUAAAUAUUUGGUAACUGAGGCACCGUAAUCGGGGGCAAGCCCCCUCCCAC